AACGGCCGUACCAUGCUGAAUAUACCGGUUCUCGUUAGAUCACCGAAGUUAAGCAUCAUUGGGCGCGGUCAGUACUUGGGUGGGUGACCCCUGGGAACACUGCGUGCCGUU
This 111-nucleotide ribosomal RNA is filed under the name Caerostris darwini. The record is from RNAcentral. Lineage: Eukaryota; Metazoa; Arthropoda; Arachnida; Araneae; Araneidae.